Erpetoichthys calabaricus (reedfish) is the source of this 7260-nucleotide RNA transcript. It is a transcript of the gene named protein quaking, with no coding region annotated. NCBI's taxonomy places the organism in Eukaryota, Metazoa, Chordata, Cladistia, Polypteriformes, Polypteridae. The transcript is spliced from 8 exons. The record is from RefSeq and is a predicted model, not a curated record.
CUGUCACGUGACGGCGCCGCGAGCUCAGGCACGGCAGCGACAACCAGUCGAGGCGAGAGCGAGACGGCGGCUUCACUGAAACGCUCAGAGUUUACACUGCGAGAGCUAGCGACAGGAGUGGAGCGCGGGGCUGCCGGCUACGGGAGUGCUCCACACACAGGGACCUGACGGACGGCACAGAACACCCUCGGAAAAGGGAAUCUCAAGCCGCCUUACUUGCACUUAGAGACGUCUCUGUGCACGCGCGCACAUACAGACAACCUGACAGUUACGGAAAGAGAAAAGGAUAAAGGUGCGCAUUGUUGAGAGAGUAACUAGUGGAUACAACAGUUCACUUAAAGAAGAAACUACCUCCCUCCUUUGCUUACUCAGUGGGUUUAUUUAAUUUUGUAUCCAACUUACAUCAAGUUGAACGUAGAAGGAAGGAAUUCGAUCAUACUGGGACUUGGGCGGCGAGGAGCCUGAAAAGGACUGGAUCGCUUGGGAGGCAGCGGCGGUGCACUGGAGGAGACGGGAGAGGAAGAGACGCAGAGAGAGAAAAGGGGGAGUGUGAAAUCACGUCGCUUGCUUUCUGUCCCUGGCCUUCUCUUCAAACUUUUAAAAAAAACAUUCAGUAUUUAUUAUUUUGUGCAUUUUAUAUACAGCGAUUUGUUUUUCCUAUCUUCGGGGCUGUGUUUGUUUUUUCUCCUUUUGGAAUAUGGUUGGGGAAAUGGAAACGAAGGAAAAACCGAAGCCGACCCCUGACUACCUUAUGCAGCUUAUGAACGAUAAGAAAUUGAUGAGCAGCCUGCCUAACUUCUGUGGGAUUUUCAACCACCUCGAAAGACUGUUGGAUGAAGAAAUCAGCAGAGUACGGAAAGAUAUGUAUAACGACACAUUAAAUGGCAGCACAGACAAGAAAAGUUCAGAAUUACCAGAUGCUGUGGGACCCAUUGUACAGUUACAAGAAAAACUUUAUGUGCCUGUAAAAGAAUAUCCAGAUUUUAAUUUUGUCGGAAGAAUUCUUGGACCUAGAGGACUAACGGCGAAGCAGUUGGAAGCAGAGACAGGAUGUAAAAUUAUGGUCAGAGGCAAGGGUUCAAUGAGGGACAAAAAAAAGGAAGAACAAAACAGAGGCAAGCCUAAUUGGGAACAUCUGAAUGAAGACUUGCAUGUGUUGAUCACUGUGGAAGAUGCUCAAAAUCGAGCAGAAAUCAAACUCAAAAGGGCUGUAGAAGAAGUCAAAAAGCUAUUGGUACCAGCAGCAGAAGGUGAAGAUAGCCUUAAAAAAAUGCAACUGAUGGAACUAGCAAUUCUUAACGGCACAUAUAGAGAUGCAAACAUCAAAUCACCUGCCCUUGCCUUUUCUCUUGCAGCAACGGCUCAGGCUCCCCGGAUUAUUACAGGGCCAACACCAGUUCUCCCGCCUGCUGCCCUGCGGACCCCCACACCAGCUGGCCCUACCAUAAUGCCUUUGAUUAGACAAAUUCAGACAGCUGCUGUCAUGCCAAAUGGAACCCCCCACCCUACUGCCACAAUUGUGCCUCCUGCACCGGAGGCAGGUUUAAUCUACACACCCUAUGAAUACCCGUAUACACUGGCACCAGCUACAUCCAUCCUGGAGUACCCAAUUGAACCUAGUGGAGUGUUAGCUUCCUCAAAGGCUGAAGAGCUGCCACUGUACUUUGGGUUCCAUACCUGUCACAUUCCUGUCACACUCCACCGAGGAGAAUCCUCCUCCUCCAGAGUUUCCUUUUAAAGAAUGGGGCUGUUCACCACACUUAAACAAUCCAAACUUUGCACUGUAGGGUAACUGUGAGGAGCUGCCAGCUUCAGUCUAACACCAUGAUGCAUCUGCAUCAUUGAAGUUGUUCAAUGAAUGUUUACAAAAAUGGCCACUUUAAGAUCGCCCAAAGCCUUAAAAGCAUUCUUUUUGAAAGGUUUUCUGCAUGUAAUUGUAAAAGCAUCACAAGGCUCUGAGCUAAAUGACAGCACAAUCUCCUGGAUGAUAGAAACUACAGUGGAUGAGGUUUUAAUUCACUCGGGGAUCUUUUUUUGCUUUGGGUUAAACAUGUGGACAAGUUGCAUGUUGCUUCAAAGAGGAUGGACCACUCCAGAGACUAAUUUACAUUCCCUUCCUUUAUUCUUUAGGUAUGGCUUUCCCAACGAAAGGCUAAGCAUUCAAGAACGGUCUUACUGAAUCCUCAUCAGAUCUGAGUUAACAAAUGUUUAGUUUCACAGCUGCCUUGAAAUUUUCAAGCUAUGGCCUAGCAGUCAGUCAAACACUUGCACUUAAUUCUUUUGUCAUAGGAUUACUACUGAAUCUUACACUGGCAAUAUAUUUUGCAAGAGAAAAAAAAUAUAUAUAUAUAUAUAUAUGCAAUAAAAUGCAGUGCCUAGUAUUUCACUGAUUGCUAAGUAUGUUAUAAGUAAAUAAAUACAGUGUUGCUUUACUAAUCACCUAAUACACAGCACAUUAUCCUUAUUGGCUUAUAACAUCAAUUUCAUGUUGUGGUCUAAGGAAACUUAUACAAAAAAAAUUGAGAGAGAUGGAGAAUUUCAGGUCCCAGACCUAUUUUGGACAGUAAUCAGUGUUAUAUUUGUAUUUAAUUUUAAACAUAACUGGAAUUCUGCAUCUUGUCCAGAUGCAUGUCAUUGAUUAUGUGAGUAGUAAAGCUUAUAUACUGUAUGCUUUGGUCUAAUCAGCAUCUUUCAUAUUGUACCUCUGAAUAGAAAACUUCAUGGAUCUGACAGGUUAAGGCAAUGCUUUUUCUCUAAAGUGAAUGCUACUGUUCUGUUAUAAACCACAUAGAUUUAAUCAUAUAAACUAUUGUGCCUUAACUUGUUUCACCUUUAAACUGCUUACUUUUGUAGCUAUUGUUAAUUGUAAAGGUAAUUUUGAUAAACCUACUGUAUUUAAUGAACUGUUAAUGGACCAUUUCUAAGUUGAAAUAUCUAACCUUGUUUUGGUAAUGUUGCAAUCUAACCAGGUGCGGUGGCUACUAAAGUACGAAGGCACGAUAUGCGGGUCCAUCCUUACCAAAGGAUUGUGACCGCAGACCGAGGUUAGUUUAGUUAUGGUGUUCCUGUUUUUGAAAAUAAAAAUGAUGUCAUUCAUUGAUACACUUUGCAACACUAUAUCUAGCCCAUUCCUUUUAUUUUGUAUUCAUUUAAAUUCUCUUGUUAAUGAAUCUGUGGCCAUUUUUUUUAUUUUUGUCCAUUAUUUUGAUGACUUUGUGAUCUGCGUGUUGUUAAUGAAAAAUAAUGGAUACCUGAUUCAGUUUCCCCACUGCGUUAUAAACAGACUCAUUUCGAAAAUGGUCAGUUGCCUCUGUUAUUACUCAAUUUCAUUUAAGACAAAUCUUUAUUGUAAAGUCCCGUGUUGUAAAGACAUGAUUUUUUUUUACAUUGUUUUCUGUAACAUUAUGUAUAGGAUAGUUUAUUGUAUGGAAAAGGUUGAACAAUUUAAAUAUAACCUCAGAGAAGAAAAAGUACUUUUCUACUUUUUGUGUAGCAUUCAUUACAAGCUUUCCGGUAUUUUUAUAUACAUGCAUAUUUGUGAUUACAUUUAAAAUGAUAGUUUUACUGAAAAUGUAUGACAUGAAUGGAAUUGUGAAAAACAGACUUUCUGCUAGUGCCUUAGUAACAUCUAUUGGAAUAUCUACAUCGAUUUUAAAGACCACAAACUGUUCUCUUUCGAGGUACGUAGGGUUUUAUUAUAUCACAACAUAAGAAAAGGGAAUAACUCUGCUGAAGAUUUACCGAUACCUUUUUCAGUUGGGGAACUGAAACAAUACAGACAAUUUAGCAACCACAGGAAAAAUGCUUAUGUCUUAUCAGAUUGGUGUUGCAAACAGUUUUAAGGGCUUUUUUAUUGGAACUGUUUGUGUAAAACAAAAAUGAUAAAUGUCAUCAAUUCUAGACAGGUGAAAAAAGGUGAAGAUUUAGUUUCCUGGUAAUGUUAAAACAAGAUUGGCUUCUUUUUAAAAUUGUGAAACUUUAAUAGUUAUUCCCUUUUUACUUUAUUUUUGUUGCUCUUUUUUAUUAUCAUUUUAAAGCACGCUGUGGCAUUAUUUUAAAUUAUGGGCAGAACUAAAGACUAUAAUAAAUAAGGCAGCUGCUUUGGUUAAAUAUGUGUUUUUAAAAAAUAACUGAAAAACCAUUUACAGUAGCUGGAUCUUGUUUUCUAUUGACCUGGAACUAAAUCUUUAUUAUUAUACACCUACAGUGCUUUUAUGAGUGUUGUCAUCUGUUUUUCCCUAAGACCCACUCGUAAACCUUUAGGAAAGAGGUCCUAAUUCAGAUUUAUGAUCAUUAUUCACAUAUUACUUUUAUAUGUCUUUAUACAGUAACAUUAAUUAUAUCAGUUGAUUUCAUGUAUGUAUACUUUACACUAAUGUUAGGACCCAUUUAUUUAAUAAGAGAGAACCGUGGCCUUGUUUUUAAUUAUGAAGAGCAAUAUUAAAGUUUUACCAUUAUUUUGUGCAUAUUAAUGUAUGAAAUUUUGGUUAAAGUGCACUUUACAUUUUAAUAAAUUUUUAAAAUCAAUCCUUUUAAUUAUACAAUUAGGUGUUUCAUAUAGAAGGUAUAUUACAUCUAUGAUUUCCAAGUUGUAUUCUUGUAUAUAAAAAAUAAGCUUUGUACAAUAUGUGCACAAUGUCAGAGACUCCACUGUAUAAAAAGUCCUCUGAAAACUGAAAAAACCAAGCCCUAGUCAAGUGCUGCUUUUCCACAUUAUCUUCAGACUGCUGCAGACAUUUGUUCAGCGAUGAAGUAUGGCAUCCAUCCAAGUUAAACAAAAUCAUCUGUUUAAAGUGGGUGGUCAUGUUACCAUAUAGAUGUUUUUAUAUUUCUGCCCACUUAUUGAAUUUCAUUAAGUAAUAUAAGAAGAGUUAAGGGCCAUGAAAUGGUAAGUCUAGCUAUCUCACAGCUUGAGAAACCUGGGUUCAAUUCCAACCUAAUUUCUGUCUGUGAGAAAGUUUAACAUUUUCUUUUAUCUUAGAGGGUUUCUUCACCACUCUAAACUCUUGUUUCUCCUCCACCCAAACAAUGUUAAUUUGUUACUCUAAAUCAGCCUUUUGGAGUAAUUCUGUAAUUGCUCAUUUACAGUAUAUGUCCUAAAGUGAAUUAGCUAUCUGUGUUAAUUUGAUUAAUUCUACAAGGUCUCCACAAAACUAUAUAGUGGGAAAAACAGUUUAAGAAUUAUCAUCGAUGGAUGGACAACAGUUAUCUAAGGAACUUACUUUAUUAGUAUAACUGAAUGAUCUGACUCUUUUGUAUCAUUCAGAAUCUUAUGUGUUUUAUGUUUUCAAAAAUUAUGAAGCAGCUUUUGUAAAUGCAGAAGGCAAGACUUUUUUUAACAUUAUGUAUUGUUUUAAUUCCAAACAAAUGUGGUUUAGAAAUAGCUCAUGCAUAAUCCAUGUUUACAUGUGUUUCAUAUAUUUGUCCUUAAAAAAAGGCAGGCCAUUGAUAGAUGCUAUCAGUCACUUCUUCAGCCAGAUGAUAUUUUCCCCACCUUCCUCUUUGUAUAGUCAGUAAACAAACCGCAAAAAGUUAAAACUGAGUUCUAUGGAUUUGUAAAUUAAUAUCUGUUUAAAUUAAGAUCUUGUCAUUCUUAAAUGUUAUUUUAUUUCUUUGACUUUAAAUCUAAAAAUGUACACAUUUUGGUUGAAAGUGUUCUCUAAAGGUUUACCAUAUUGGGUCGAAGGGAAUAACAGCCAAUGGUAUUUUAAAAUAUAUUUAAAUACAACUUUUAGAAGGCUUUUUUUUUUCUUUUUUCUUUUUUUGGUGCAUUCCUUGGAACUUUGCAAGCGUGCUGAUAGAAAUAAUAGGAAAUAAAUAAAUUCAAAGUACUCAUUUAUGAAACUUUACUUAUUACUGAGAAUUUGCAAUUGGUGAAUGUUUCGCAAGGGAAAUAAUUCUGUAUGACUAAGAAGACAAAACCUCAAUACAGUAUGUCGUCAAACAAAACUAAGUUUAAUAUCUAUAACGGACAGACUGACAAAAUUAAUUCUCAAAACUGUUUAUGAAUUUGCACAAUUGUUAAACCUGUGUGUAUUAAAGAAAUACCUGUAACUAGGUAAAUAAUACCUCACAGGUGUAUUACUCAUGUGAUUAAGGCAAACUGAACUCCAUUGUCUCCAAUAGGCCGCAGUUUUGACACAUUGAUAUCUGAGUAGAAAAAUAUAUACUUGGUGUUUUUUUUUUUUUUAUAAUUGUCCAAACGUUUAGGCUUUCAAAGGUUAAAAAUAAACCAUAAAUUAAGCUAUAUACUCCACAGUAAAUAUGGUGCUUCAAGAGUAUUUGGAUUUGUAAAAUGUACUGUGGAACUAUUUUUUUUAAUGAAUUCAUUUAUUAAUGUUUACCUGAUCUAUCAACCUUUCAGCAUAUAACAGUUGAUUUUUGGUGAAAAAAGACUUUAAAUGGAUACCAUUUUAGCGGCCUAUUUAAGGCACUAAACGUUCACUCAUUGUUUCACCUACUGGAUUUCUUGUUACAUUAAACGGCACAAAUAUGACUUUGCACUGAAAAAGCCCUUUCAUCACCUCUGCCUCCGUCAAACUGGCAACAGAUAAAUGUAAAUGAAACAUCAUUAACAAAAAGUGAAAAAAGUCUUAACUGCAAAGUGGACCAAGUCGCAUAAGGGAUGAUGGGUAAAAAAUAUUAGACAAGAUCAUUUAUUGACUGAUGGAAAAAAAAAAAAAAAAACUUUCCACUUGAGAAGUUUGUUGUAUUUGUUGUGUAUUUUUUGUUUUUAAUUUUUUUGUUUUCUUGCAUUUCAUUUUCUUUUUGUUGUUAUUGAAAAGAAAAUAGUAUUUACAGGUUGCUUCUUAAAGAAAAAAGUAUAAAGCAGAAAUGUAAAUGAAAUGUCAAAUUCUAUUGUAUUUGCAAAGUAAUAGCAUUGAAAAUUCAAGAGGGCUAUUUGUAGUUACAAAAAUAUGCAUAUAGCAUCAUUUAGAAUUUUCUUCUAUUUUUGGAUGUUCCUUAGUGCUUUAUAUAAAGAAAUUAGACUAUAUAAAUGGCAGGACUUUACAGUGUUUAUAUGCAAAUGCAUUUUUAUAUAAAAAUACGUCCUGUAAGUGUAUUAUAGUAUAUGCAGCAAGGGAUGCCUUUAGCCAAAGCUGUAUACUUGGCUUUCUCUGGGCUCCUAUACUGAUGCCUUCUCUGCUAGAUAUUUUAUUUAGUUUUGCUUUGUAUCAUGAGGCCAAGAUUUUCAUGUUGUUGUAAAUAGAGUAAAACGAAAUGAAAGGCAAUAAAAGUUUUAUUGAACAAAACAGAAAA